UCGCCCUUAGAACAAAAAAUACAAAUAACUAAUUAUUCUUCUUCUUGCGCUCCCUCUUAGUCCGAUCCAACUCGUUCGUGAGACGGAGGUAUUCUUCUUCUAUUUCUUUCAUUGAAGCCUCCGCUUCAACUUGACGAGGGAGAGGAUGGCUCCGAUCCAUGGCCGGGCACGAAGUUCCUGCCGCCGCGUCUUCAAGAACGACUCGCGGAGGAAGCGGAUGGCUCCUGUCGGUUGGAGAUCGCCG
RNAcentral lists this long non-coding RNA (244 nucleotides) under Setaria italica (foxtail millet). RNAcentral's name for it is "long non-coding RNA (SITA_LNC005889)". Lineage: Eukaryota; Viridiplantae; Streptophyta; Magnoliopsida; Poales; Poaceae. The record is from RNAcentral.